Long non-coding RNA from Erinaceus europaeus (western European hedgehog), 627 nucleotides. RefSeq lists it as uncharacterized. The transcript is spliced from 2 exons. NCBI's taxonomy places the organism in Eukaryota, Metazoa, Chordata, Mammalia, Eulipotyphla, Erinaceidae. The record is from RefSeq and is a predicted model, not a curated record.
CUUUUUACACUGUGGCAAAUUGGACAGUAUGGCCAGUGGGAUAUAGUGAAAGAGAUAUUAUGUAACCUCAAAGAUUAGAUUCCAGAUGACAACGAAACAUCAGUCUUGGUUGCUUUGUCAGUCUCUGACUCCUGUGGACACUCCACACCGGAGAAGCCAGGUGCCACUUGUUAAGGACUUUCAGGCAUCUCUGGAAAACCAUACAGCAAGGAACUGAGACAUCUAGUCAACAACCACCAAGUUGCAGAUGCUACCAUGAUGCCAUUCUGACUUCCCUAGGCACAUGACCUCACUAGUGUGUCCUAGAACCCCACCUCCCCAGAGCCCUACCCCACUAUAGGAAAAUAGCAACAGGCUGAUUGUAUGGAUCCAUCUGUCAAUGCCUGUGUUCAUCAGAGAAGCAAUUACAGAAGCAAGACCUCACACCUUCUGCAUCCCAUGAAGAUCUGUGGUCCAUACUCCCAGAGGGGUAAAGAAUAGGGAACCUUCUAAUGGAAGAGAAGGGAUUAUGGAACUCCAGUGGUGGGAAUUAUAUGGAAUUGUACCCCCUCUUAUCCUACAAUCUUGUCAAUCACUACUAAAUCAAUAAUACAAAAAUUAAAAAUAAAUAAAAUUUUAAAAAUCUCA